AGGCUUAGGCUUUGGUUUAGGCUUAGGCUUAGGCUUAGGCUUAGGCUUAGUCUUAGGCUUCAGCUAAGGCUUAGAUUUAGGCGUAGGCUUUGGCUUAGGCUUAGGCUUAGGGAUAGUCUUAGGCUCAGGCUUAGGCUGUGGUUUAGGCUUAGGCUCAGGCUUAGAUUUAGGCUUAGGCUUAGGCUUAAGCUAAUGCUUAGAUUUAGGCGUAGGCUUUGGCUUAGGCUUAGGCUUAGGGAUAGUCUUAGGCUUAGGCUUAGGCUUAGGCUUAGGCUUAGGCUUAGGCUUAGGCUUAGA
This is a non-coding RNA of Caenorhabditis elegans, 297 nucleotides long. NCBI's taxonomy places the organism in Eukaryota, Metazoa, Nematoda, Chromadorea, Rhabditida, Rhabditidae. The record is from Ensembl.